AGGUCAGUGGCUAUUCCGUCCGCCUGAAAAGCGGAAGGUCGCCGGUUCGAUCCCGGCCCUGGCCA
RNAcentral lists this transfer RNA (65 nucleotides) under Mycolicibacterium lutetiense. Its description in RNAcentral is "tRNA-Phe". It matches the Rfam family "tRNA", at positions 9 to 71 of the family's 71-position model. Rfam says of the family: Transfer RNA (tRNA) molecules are approximately 80 nucleotides in length. Their secondary structure includes four short double-helical elements and three loops (D, anti-codon, and T loops). Further hydrogen bonds mediate the characteristic L-shaped molecular structure. tRNAs have two regions of fundamental functional importance: the anti-codon, which is responsible for specific mRNA codon recognition, and the 3' end, to which the tRNAs corresponding amino acid is attached (by aminoacyl-tRNA synthetases). tRNAs cope with the degeneracy of the genetic code in two manners: having more than one tRNA (with a specific anti-codon) for a particular amino acid; and 'wobble' base-pairing, i.e. permitting non-standard base-pairing at the 3rd anti-codon position. The record is from RNAcentral. Lineage: Bacteria; Bacillati; Actinomycetota; Actinomycetes; Mycobacteriales; Mycobacteriaceae.